This 70-nucleotide transfer RNA is filed under the name Dipodomys ordii (Ord's kangaroo rat). It matches the Rfam family "tRNA". From Rfam's summary of the family: Transfer RNA (tRNA) molecules are approximately 80 nucleotides in length. Their secondary structure includes four short double-helical elements and three loops (D, anti-codon, and T loops). The record is from Rfam by way of RNAcentral. Lineage: Eukaryota; Metazoa; Chordata; Mammalia; Rodentia; Heteromyidae.
GGGACUGUAUCUUAAUGGUAGAGUGCUUGCCUAGCAUGUAUGAAGCCCUGGGUUCGAUUCCUCAGUACCA